Molecule: small nuclear RNA, 160 nt
Organism: Heterocephalus glaber (naked mole-rat)
Lineage: Eukaryota; Metazoa; Chordata; Mammalia; Rodentia; Bathyergidae
Gene: U2
Rfam family: U2 spliceosomal RNA
About the family: U2 is a small nuclear RNA (snRNA) component of the spliceosome (involved in pre-mRNA splicing). Complementary binding between U2 snRNA (in an area lying towards the 5' end but 3' to hairpin I) and the branchpoint sequence (BPS) of the intron results the bulging out of an unpaired adenosine, on the BPS, which initiates a nucleophilic attack at the intronic 5' splice site, thus starting the first of two transesterification reactions that mediate splicing.
Source: Ensembl
AUUGCUUCUCGGCCUUUUGGCUAAGAUCAAGUGUAGUGUGAAAGUUUUCAGUUUUUGACCAAUUAGUAUGUUGUUGGCUGUUGGUUUUUCAUAGAUAGCCUUUAUCAAGUUGAGAUAAAGACCUUCUAUUCCAAUUUUCUGUAGGGUUUUUAUCAUGAAU